Molecule: long non-coding RNA, 14263 nt
Organism: Callithrix jacchus (white-tufted-ear marmoset)
Lineage: Eukaryota; Metazoa; Chordata; Mammalia; Primates; Cebidae
Source: RefSeq, a predicted model, not a curated record
AGUAUUUUUGGUUGUAUCCCUUUGUAUGGCUUUUUAAAUCGGUUUAUCUAGGCAUUAUAUAAGUUGUCAUCGUCUACUGGUGUGGGCCAUUUAUCCGUUAAAGAAUGGAAACUGUUCCAGUGCUGAUGAGCCAAGUCCCCUGGUUCUCUUCUUUCCUGUUUGGAAAACUUCCUUCAGUCGUUCUUUUCUAGCAGGUCUUCUGGCAACAAUCUUCUCUUAUUUUUGUUCUCCAAGAAGGUCUUAUUUCCCCAUCAGUCUUGAAAAAUAUUUUCACUGGAUGCAGAAUUUUUGUUGCUGAAAACUGUGUAAUACUUCCUUUCUUCCCGUCACAGUUUCUGCUGUGAAAUCCUCUGUCGUUCCAAUUGUUUUUUCUCCCUGGAGGUAAGAUGUGGUUUCUCUUCUCUGCUUUCGAGAUAUUUCCCUUGACAUUAGUUUUUGGAAGCUUGACUAUAAUGUCUAUUUGUUUGGAUUUAUCUUUUAGGGUUUGCUUAGCAUUGGAAGUUUCAGGCUUAUGUCUUUUUCCGAAUGUGGGAAGUUUCCACCGAUUAUUACCUGCCGUUCUUUUUCCUCCUGCACGUGGCGGCAUCAAUGUUAGGAUGUUAGUGACAGCCCUGCAGGUCCCCAAGGCUCUGCUCCCCUUUCUUAGCCUGUUUUCUCUCUGUUGGUCAGAUCUGGCAGUUUCUAUCAUUCCACUGUUCUUGCCUUCAUUCCCUCCAUUCUCUUGGUAAGCCCAUCCAUUGGGCUUUUAACAUUUUAACCACUCUAUAUUUUUUCAGUUCUAAAAUGUUCACUUGGAUUUUAUUGACAUCUUCCGUUUGUUAAGACUUUUGAUUUAUUAUAUGAGACCAUUUCAAGCAUGUCUGAAACAGUUUUUGAUGGCUGCUUUAAAAAGUCUUUUGUCAGGUAAUUCUAGCAUCUCUGUCACCUCAGCGUUCAAUGUGAUGGAUUCUCUUCUCUUCUUUCACUUUGAGAGCUUCCUGGUUCCUGUUACCAUAAGCGAUUCUUAAAAAAUGGAAAAUCCUGGACACUAGAUUCUCUGCUGUAAGAAUGAAUUUUAUGUGAAACAGGAGUCACGGCUGGCUUUCUGUGAUGCCACUCUGGCAGGAAAAGGGGCUGCUGUCCUGACCUUACCAGGAGAGGCUAGAACUCCAGGAUUCCUAUUUGAGCUCCACUGGCUUCUGAGGGGCUACACCUCAUGUCUGUGGGUUGUGAGUGGAAGUUCCAGAUCCCCACUAGGCGCCCACUAGGGUUAGCUGGGUUGUGGAGUGUGGGGGUUCCUCAUUACUUCUCCCUUUGUGGCCCCAGAGGAGGAAGGCCAGCCUUGUUUCCGCUGGAUGCUGGUAAGAUUCCUGACUUUCCACUAGGGGUUCUCUGACACUACCCUGGCAAGGAGCAGGAGAGGGUGGGAAAAAGCUUUCUCAUUCCUGGGUCCCUUGGCCUUGCCAAAUUCCAAAUAGCAAGGAAAAGAGGGUGUCUUGUUCCUGCUAGGUGGGGUGGAGGUUGGGGCUCCCCAUAUGGGCUCCACUGACACCAUGAGGGGCUCCUCCUUCUGCCUCUGGAUAUAAAUGUCCCAGCUGCCUAUGAGGCCUUCUCUGAUGCCAUCUUGCAGUGGGAGGUUGAGGCACCUCCACCAAACCACAUGAAAGUGGAAGUCCCGGCUCCCCACUUGGCCCUGGCUGUAUCAAUGGCCGGGAGAGAGUGGUGACAGACUUUCUCCAUGGUAGUCAGCUAGAGUAGAGCUCCUGAAAGUCUUCUGUCUUGCCAGGCUGCCUCGGUCCUAACCCACAGCCUGCAGGGAGCAAACUCUGGCUGGGGCUUUCAUUGUCGGCACCUGUGGGUAUUUCCGGAUCGCUGGCUGCUUCCACCUGAAGUCUGAGAUACAUAAGGUAAGAAGAAAACCCCGAAAAGUCACCCCCGUGAGGUUCUGCAGGCUCCAGGGUCCCUCGUCCAUCUUCCUCUCCUGUACCCUCCAGAAUCUUUGUGUGCGGUUCCAUGAACAACCUCCAGGGCCGUGAGUUAACACUCAGCAGGUGCCCAUAAGAUAGGCCUGGUCGUGCAGAGGCUAGUGUGCUUGAUUUAAGCAUCCAGGGAUUGCAUCUGUUUUAAUGCCUAGUGAUGGGACAGCUCAUGAGUCUAAGACGUCUUGUGAUGAAAUGAGCAUAUGGAUAUCUGCUUCUAUUGCUAAUGUUGUUCAGUUAUCUACUUCAACAAGUCGAAAUUCGCUGGGUUCAAGAAAAUACAUUGGUAUAAUAUAAGAGUCAAGUCUUCGUAGUCUGAGUCUUCGUAGCUUCAGUAUCAUUGGUGACCAAUGGCUUUAAGGCCUAAGUAGGGUUUAUGAAACCUGUCUGUUAUGUACAGGAUAUGCGGGAAUGAUUCAUGCGUCCAUUCCAUCCUCCUUGACCUGGAGAUCACUGAGCUUUUUAUUUCAAUGAUCAUGUUUUUCAUUUUUAGAAAUUCUCUUUAAAAAAUCGCCUGGGCUCCGCAUUUACAGCUCUUUUUUACUUUUUUAAAACAUCACCUGCAUGAACGUCUGCACGUCUGCUUCUGUUGCUUUGCACUCACCUGAUUUGUUUUUCACUUGGGAGGCAGGUCGCUCUUUUCCCUCAGCACUACCCAGAGAUUUCUUUGAGAGGUGGGUUGAGAUUCAUUUCCUUCAGAGGCCUCACAUUUUCUUCUUCCUAUUGUCUGGGGCAUUUCCACUGGGCACAGAUGUAAUUAAAAUUUCCUGUUUGAAGUUUUUUGAUCUGUACUACAGUGAAUUCAGACUGCAGACCUGGAAGAGGACUGGCUUGUGGUUUUCUGUAAAAGUUCUUCUCCUUCCCCCACAUAAGAGCCGAGGCAUGCACACUUCUUUGUUUUCUGUACAGCAAGGGUUAUUGCUUGCUGUAUGUGAAGGUGGGCACAGCUGCGUGAGCAUCGCGGCUCAGCCAUGUGACUCAGGCCUGGGCACCCUGUCUGGGUUCUGCCUCCAUGUUGGUCAACACUGCGCGGUGCUCCCUGGCAGAGCUGUUGUUGGGACUGGAGAAGGGGUGUGUGGAAAUGGACUUCGUGUGACAUUGGAAUCCUGCUGUGGACUUGGCUUUGUGGGCACAGGUGGGGUUAAGGCAGAAGCCCCACUGAUUCCCUAAAGUGUAAUGUGAGACUGUCGCUCAGAGGUUCCGCUGCCCGAUGAACUCCCGUGCCCUGUCUGGGCUGGCCACCCAGAGGUCUGUGGGAACGGGCACACACUGUGCCAAUCCAGACCCCAUCUCUGGCUGCAGAUGCCCUGAGCAGGUGCGUGUACAUGCAGGCUUGGUGCAAGCUGUCCUUAGGACUAGAGCUGCAGCUGCUCGGAUGGCUCCUGGUGGCAUUCCUUGCCCUCCACAAGCCCAGAGUCUGGCUUGUAGAGGGCAAGGCCAUCCUGCAGGGAAGAGGUGGGAGGUGGGGCUGCUGAAUAGCAGCACUCAGUGUGUCCUUGGCACCUUUGGCAACUAACAGCUCAAGGAACACCUACAGACCUCAGCACGGCAGUGAUGACGCUGAUGGCGUUCAGGGUGGACUGUGUGCUGCGUGCAAUGUGGACCAGACGCACCUGCUGUUCUUCUCCCUGCUUGCUGGCGCCCAGGGUUGAAGUGGGAAGGGAAAAAUGGGGCAUUACCAGUGAGAAGAGUGGACUCCUUGUCUGCAAAUGCCACCUGUUGUCCUUGCACCAGAGCAUAUCUCUGUGGACCCUGAGGUUCUCUUGUCCCAAGUCCUCUGUCACAGUGGGGAGUUCAUGUCAGCAGGGAGGAAGCCAAGCCUGUGACCAGCAGACCCCAGCUGCCACCAAGCCUCUUGGCCUGGACUAGCUGGCACCCUGAGAGGAGCAAGGGCUCAUAACACCCAAAAAGCUGCUGGGGGAGAAAAGCCAUCAGGAUUCCUCCCUGGUCCAGGACCUGGCACCUGGUUGGUACCUGCUAUGUGUCCAUGUCCGUGUGGCUGAAUAAACGAGUGAUGGUGUGAGCCAGGGCACUCACCGAAGUCCUCAGGCUGGGUUCUGCUCUCAAGCAGUUUUCACCUAUUAGAACAGAAGCAUUCUGUCCAGAGUCAGCAUAGGGAGGUGGAAAGCUCCUUAGCUCUGUAUUUAAGUGGGGCUUCUGCCAAAAUGUAGAUUCCUGGGCUGGGGGAUUCCACAGGCUGUCAUGGAUCAGAGCUGGUGGUGCUGGGGUACUGCAGCAUGUGGCCCCAAGCAGCACCUUGGGUGAUUGUGUGCGCACUGGAAUCUGAGAUUCCACUGCCUUGAAGAGGCUGAUGCUGGUCCAGUCUCUGCUUCAAGCUGAAGCUUGCGGAUAUGCUGAGCUUGGCGCCAUCAGGGGCAGGAAUGGGCACUCCUGUGCCACGUGCGGGGUAGGGGAGGCUGUAAGACUGUUUGUGGGGUUCUUAAGCCCUCUGUAUACUGAAAUCAAAGCUUCAGAGCCUUGAAAUGAUACAGAUGGCGGGGCUCCACCCUGAGAUUUGGAAGUUGUUGACCUGGGAGGGUCUGGGCAGGUGCUUCGUGAAAGCUUCCCCCAUGCUGUUAUUGAGUGGUUAACAUUUAGAACGUGAAUGUCUCAAAUGUCUGCUUUUUAUGACCCGUAACUGAGUACAGAGUGCCCAACUGGUGAGCAAUGAUGAGUGUUCCCAAUAUCACUGGUGUGCUCUCCUUUGGGGUGUCCAGCAGGACUGAACUUCCCUAGCCUAGAAGUUGAUCUGGGCAGGAGACCAGCUCUGGCCGUCAGGUUGGUAAAAGUGAUGUCCAGGUGCCAAGGCCACGGCUCCCGCUGCUCUGCCAGUCACACUGCGCUCACGGCCAGUGAGGGCACACACACUGUGCUGACGCCGCUGAGCUUUUGAGCUUCUUCGUCUCCACGUUACUCCCUAGCCUCUCCCGACAGACGUGUUGGGUCGGGUUUUAUCAGAGAGUGUUAAAGCUCACAAGAGUUCUGGAUCAUCAAAUGCCUCCUUCAUUACCUUGAUAGGAUAAGUGAACUGACUUUUCUUUUUUGAGCAAAUACAGUUUUCUAAGUCCUCCAGUUUUAUUUUUAAUAUGUCCCUCCCUGAGACACAAAGCCAGCCUUUUGGUGUGAAAAUGUUUGCUAUCGCCUUGUCAAGGUAGUGCAAUGCGAAAUGCAUUCAGUUCGUGGAACUUGGUUAUUUAGUUUGUCCCUGGGAAAUGAGUGUUAUGUCAGGUAAAAAAAUCCAAAAUGCUGAAAGCAAAUGGGGGUCUUUUCUUACAGAGAAAAAUGCCUGCAGGAACUCAACUGAUCCACGAGGGAUGUGCGCAAUGGGCUCUGUUCUCCUGAGUUCUAUUGAGGGAAAUUUCAAGUUAAGGAGGAGGAAGAAAAUACACCACUGAUUUUAUUUUUGAGAUGGAGUCUUGCACUGUCGCCCAGGCUGGAGUGCAGUGGCACGAUCUUGGCUCACUGAAACCUCUGCUUCCUGGGUUCAAACGAUUCUCCUACCAGUAGCUGGGAUUACAGGCACCUGCCACCAUGCCAGGCUAACUUUUGUGUUUUUAGUAGAGAUGGGUUUUUUGUCAUGCUGGCCAGGUUGGCCUCGAACUCCUGACCUCAAGUGAUCCACCUGCCUUGGCCCCCCAGAGUGCUGGGAUUACAGGCAUGAGCCACCGUGCCUGGCCACCACUUACUUUAAAAUGCAUUUUUUCCCCUCAGGGGAAAAUUAGCAGCUAUUAUGAUUUCCUGCUUUUUGUAAGAAUGUUUUUUCAACUUCUAAUGUUUCAGACUUACCGGAAGCUCCCUGCUAUUUAGGGUUUGAAUGAUUAUGUGGCUCUUUUCUAAAAGUCAAAAUUCACUUGACAAGGGCCAAUUCAAUUUUUCUGAAAUAUCUGAUAUGAAAUGAAGAAGCUUGUAGAUACUAAGAACUUUGGAGAACAUUGGAGGAGAGAAUGCCGGCAAUGGCUUGCACUUUCUUCAGCACCGCUGAGAGAAGGGUUUGGAAUGUGCCCUCUUGUGUUCCGGGCGAGUGCUCCCCAUCCUAAGCCACUCAGGUCCCCAGAACGCGACAGCACCUGGAGGGCAGUGAGCUCGUCGUCCUUGGCGUUUGAAGGCUAUCUACCUGUCCCAUCCCGGUAGGCCACCUUCCUGCUGGGAACACUGGAAAACCACAGAAUUGCUUCUGAUGAGGUCCCUGGGAAGAUGUGCUCCAGGACUCAAAGCCAUGCCUAAAGAGGUGGGUGUUCAGGCUGGCACCGAGGAGGCUGUGUUCAUGCGUUCCUCCAGAAGCGGCUCCCUGAGAGCAGGUUGGGGGCGUGGCAUCUAGACCAGCAGGGGGGUGAUCACGGCCCCUCCUGUCCUGCACACCCCUGUCCUAUGGCUUCUCCUUUUCUUCCCGGGACUGCACUUUCUAGGAGGAGGACAUGGCAUCCAGGAUGCAGGAAUAGCUGGUCAGGUGCUUGUCUUGGAGAGAGGCUGGUGCCAAGCUGCAGCUGUGGGUUCUCUUGCUGGUUGGCAUUCUGGGUGGGUACCAGCCUGGCUAAUGGGUACAAACUGGAUUCUCUGGGCUGAGGAAGACUAGGGUGAAAUCCUGCUUAGCCCCCACGUCACAUUCAUGUUUAGACUGCCCUGAGCUGCCUGCUCUUUGUGUGGAGGCUGCAGGCAUUGCCAAUAAAUACAGACCUAUACACCUGUGGGGUUAAAGUAAGUUGGCAUAGCUUGUGCAUCAAUUUGGGCUCACAGGUCAGGUGCAGUCCCUGGUUUUCUCUGUGAGUGGGUGGGGAGAGUGUCCAAGGGUGAGGAGCAAAAUCAUUCCAAUGGGGGGGGAGAGUCUGUGCUCCCUUCAGUAAGCCAGCAAGGCUCUCCUUCCUCCCUCUGUUAAAGAAGGAAGGGAAGGGUUCAGAGGACAGAGGUGGGCAAGGGAGGCGGGUGGCAUGGGAGGGACAGGAGGUGGGACAAAAAGAAGCAGUACUUUCUGGACGAAAGCCUGCUGACAUCUCUUGGCAUAGUCUGGGAGCUCAGCUGUGGGGGUCGGGUGGCACCCAAGGCUGCUGGGCACUUCAUCUGCAGUCCCCAGGCAUCCACUCCCUCCUCCUUGGAAGCUGACUUCUUAGACACAAGGGAAGCACCUCACAGACCCUCCUCCUAUGAAACUGAGACCUUACCCUUGCAUCCUUGGGUGGCCUCAGAGUGAGGAGAGCCGCUCUAACCAUUGCACACACGGGGGAUGGGUGCCACUUGCAUUGGCCACCAUUGCCCUAUUAACAUAGCAGUUUCCCUGAGUGUUGGUUAAAGUAAAAGCCAACCUUUUAGUCUGGAAAGCAGUGGAGAAGCACUGCCCUCUGACCAUCCUGGAUGAAAUCUCUUCUGAAAAUAGUCUUCUAAGGGUCUACAGAAAAUGAACAAUUAUAGGAGGACUGAAAGGUCAAAAAUGGCCCAUUUUAUUUUCUGGUUGCAAGUGGGUUUCUUUUUUGUUGUUUCCUCUUAAACAGCUGCUACAUUGUGCUGGCGAUCUUGCUUAGCUGCAUUAGAGGAGAAAAACACACCAGCCUUUGCUUCAAUCCAGACUCCUGUGCUGAUUAUUCUCAUUUUUGGUUUCAGUGCAGCAAACUUAUUCUUUUAUUUGAACAGCAGCAGCAUGUUCUGUUCUCAGCUGAGGGCAGCACAUAGCAGGUGGAGUCUCACUCUGUCACCCCGCCUCAGGAGUGUGCCCACCAGGAAGUCUGCUGCUGCUGCUGGUGGCGUGUGGGAAGGGAGCCCACAUCUGCCACGUGACCGGGGUGGCCUCCCUGGCUGAGGAGGCACAGCCUCGCCAGGUGUUGCCACCAGUUCUUCCUGCUGGCUCCCCCUCAUCCUGUGACUCUUUUUCCUCCUUCUUGGGUAACGAAUAAGAGCAGUGAUACAGGAGUUAAGGAGAGAUUCCUCAGGCAGAGAGUGCGGGCACGCAAGUCCUUGGUAAGGUUUUUCUUUUAAUGAAAAGCAGCCCCAAAUCGUUUUCCUUGCUAACAAAGAGCAGCCUGUAAAAUCGGGCUGCUACAUGGAUGCUGGCAGUGGUGCCAAUCACGUUCAGAAAUGGCGACGCCAUCUUCCCUUCUGCCAGACACCCGUAUGUAUAGUAAGGAGCUGACAAGAUGGCGCCGGCCCAGGUGAAAGGUCAUUUGCAUAAUAAGAUCCGGGUGGGGCGGCCCGACUUCCUCUCACGCUGUGUAAACGUCAUACCUGAGCGACGGAAGCUGUGAGCCUUACGUAAACCAGACAGCGCCGCCUCCAGCUGGGCUAGACACUCCCCUGCAUCCCGGACGCCUCUCUCCUCUGGCCGUGACCCCUUCAAGCUCAUCUUUGGCCCCAGUUUGCGUGCCAGAUCCUGGACUCUGUGAAGGUUUAAGAUUGAGGAGUGGAACCCCAGAAGGAACAAUGAAGUAAUUACCUGUGUGAAACCCAUGCGCAGCUUGCCUGUGUCCUGCUUCACGAGAUCCAGAGAUGGCGUUCAAGAGGAGCACAGGUGCACAGAACAAAUCCUCACAAAGGAAAGAAGAAUCCAACUUGGGAAAAAAUGAAACCAUUUUAUGUAUUCCAGCAAAAGCCAGCACAGAGCAGAUUCCAGUGAGAUGCUGGCUCGACCCCGAGCAAAGUGAGGCUCUCUGACCGGAACAAGGAGGAAAAAGAGACACUCUUAGAGUUAGAUUUCCUCAGAUUUUCUUACAAGGCAAAAUAGACUUAAUCUUAAAAAUUUCCUAAUGAAAAAGAAUUUACAUAUGGAGGAUAUGCUAAUUAAAAUAAUCUCUAAAUCAUUAACUUAUGUUUUGGAAGUAUUUAUAUACUGUCUCCUAGUCUCCGUAUCUCCUUGCUAAGGGUUUAUGAAUUGGCAUAGCUGGGCAUCAUCUGGGAUGGGAAAUGAAAUAGGACAUCCAUGCUUAUCUUCAGGGAUGAGAUCUGAAUGUGGAGUCACCUUAUCUAUUACACUGUUUCAGCAUUUCAGAUGUUCCUGGGAGCAAAAGCAGGACUGUCCUCACCAGCUCUAGGUGGCUAUCUGGGAGCAGGGUGAGAGGACUUGGCAUGCACACUGCUGUUUGCCUCCUGUGAUUGGCUGAAUGUGUUUCUCCAAAAUUCAUGUUUUGAAGCCCUCGAUGUAAUGGUAUUUGGAGAUGGGGUAGGGAGUUAGGUCAGAAGAUGGAGCCUCAUGAUGGGAUUAGUGUCCUCAUCAGGAAAGGAAAAGACAUCGGGUCUCCCUUGCUCCACCACAUGAGAAUUCAGCAAGAAGGUGGCCAUCUACAAAUCAGGAAGAAAGCCCUCACCAAGAGCUAAAUUUGCAGGUGCCUGGAUUGUAGACGCUCCAGUCUCCAGAACUGUGAGAAAUACAUUUCCGUUGUUUAAGCCGUGGUAUUUUGGUAUGGUUGUCUGAGCAGACUAAUACACUUCCCCUCCAGAGGCAACCACUGCCCAGUUAACCAUAGACUAAGGAGUCAAACUAGAUUAUUAAGAGAAGAAAAGCAUGGGUUUCUGUGGCAGCCCCUUUGGCAUUCCAUGUUUUUAUAAGUACAUGUAUUAGUUUGUUUUUACGCUGCUGAUAAAGACAUACCCGAAACUGGGAACAAAAAGAGGUUAAAUUGGACUUAGAGUUCCACAUGGCUGGGGAGGCCUCAGAAUCAUGGUGGGAGGAGAAAGACACUUCUUACACGGCAGCAACAAGAGAAAAAUGAGGAAGAAGCAAAAGCGGAAACCCCUGAUAAUUCCGUCAGAUCUCGUGAGACUUACUCACUAUCAUGAGAAUAGCACGGGAAAGACCGGCCCCCAUGAUUCAGUUACCUCCCACAACAUGGGAGAAUUCUAGGAGAUUCAAUUCAAGUUGACAUUUUGGUGGGGACUCAGCCAAACCAUGUCAAUCUGCUCCCAGCCCCUCCAAAUCUAUGUAUUCACAUUUCAAAUGCAAUCAUGGCUUCCCAACAAUCCCCAUUAACCCAAAAGUCCACAGUCCAAAGUCUCAUCUGAGAUAAGGCAAGUCCCUUCUGCCUAUGAGCCUGUAAAAUCAAAAGCAAGCUAGUUGCUUUUGCGGCGGAGGUAAAGAGAUUGGAUAAAUACAGCCAUUCCAAAUGCGAGAGAUUGGCUAAAAUAAAGGGGUUACAGGGCCCAUGCAAGUCUGAAAUCCAGCAGGACAGAUAAAUUUUAAAGCUCCAAAAUGAUCAUCUUUGACUCCAAGUCUCACAUCCAGGUCAUGCUGGUUCAAGAGGUGGGUUCCCAUGGGCUUGGGAAGCUCUGCUCCUGUGGCUUUGCAGGGCACUGCCUCCCUUGCACUGCUUUCACGGGCUGGCACUGAGUGUCUGUGGCCUUUCCAGUUGCACAGUGCAAGUUGUCAGUGGAUCUACCAUUCUGGGAUCUGGAGAACAGUGGCCAUCUUCUCACAGCUCCAGGAGGGACUCUGUGGGGACCCCAAGCCCACAUUUUCCUUCUUUAUUGCUCUAGCAGAGGCUGUCAAUGAGGGUCCUGCCUCUGCAGCAAACUUUUGCCUGGGCAUCCAGGUGUUUUGAUACAACUUCUGAAAUCUAGGUGGAGGUAGAUUCCCAAACCUCAAUUAUUGACUUCUGUGCACUGCAGGCCCAACACCAUGUGAAAACUGUCAAGGCUUGGGGCUUACACCCUCUGAAGCCACAGCCUGAGCUCUAUGUUGGCCCCUUUCAGCCACAGCUAGAGGAGCUGGGACAUAGGGCACCAAGUCCCUCGGCUGCACAUAGCACAGGGACCCUGGGCCUGGCCCAGGAAACCACUUUUUCCUCCCAGGGCUCCAGGCCUGUGAUGGGAGGGGCUGCUGUGAAGGUCUCUGACAUGGCCUAGAGACAUUUUCCCCGAGAUCUUGGGGAUUAACAUUAGGCUCCUUGCUACUUAUGCAAAUUUCUGUAGCUGGCUUGAAUUUCUCCUGAAGAAAUGGAUUUUUCCUUUCCACUGCAUUGUCAGGCUGCAAAUUUUCUGAACUUUUAUGCUGUUUCCCUUUCAAAAUGGAAUGCUUUUAACAGCACACAAGUCACCUUCUGAAUGUUUUACUGCAUAGAAUUUUUUUUUCAAUUUUUUAAAAUUAUACUUUAUGUUCUAGGGUACAUGUGCAGAUAGUGCAGGAUUAUUACAUAGGUAUACGUCUGCUGUGUUUGCUGCAUCCAUCCCCCAUCAUCUACAUUAGGUAUUUCUCCUAAUGUUAUCCUUCCCCAAUCCCCCCACCUCCUGCUAUCCCUCCCCUAGCCUCCCCAUCCCCCAACAGGCCCCAGUGUAUGAUGUUCCCCUCCCUGUGUCCAUGUGUUCUCAUUGUUCAACACCCACUUAUGAGUGAGAACAUGUGGUGUUUGGUUUUCUGUUCUUGUAUCAGUUUGCUGAGAAUGAUGGUUCCCAGCUUCAUCCAUCUCUCUACAAAGGACACAAACUCAUCCUUUUUUAUGGCUACAUGGUACUCCAUGGUGUAUGUGUCCCACAUUUUCUUUAUCCAGUCUAUCAUUGAUGGGCAUUUGGGUUGGUUCCAGAUCUUUGCUAUUGUAAACAGUGCCACAAUGAACAUCCAUGUGCAUGUGUCUUUAUAAUAGAAUGUUUUAUAAUCCUUUGGGUAUAUACCCAAUAAUGGGAUUGUUGGGUCAAAUGGAAUUUCUAUUUCUAGGUCCUUGAGGAAUCGCCACACUGUCUUCUACAAUGGUUGAACUAAUUUACACUUCCUCCAACAGUGUAAAAGUGAUCCUAUUUCUCCACAUCCUCUCCAGCAACUGUUGUCUCCAGAUUUUUUAGUGAUCAUGAUUCUAACUGGCAUGAGAUGGUAUCUCAAGUGAAGUUUUGAUUUGCAUUUCUCUAAUGACCAGUGAUGAGGAGCAUUUUUUUCAUGUUUGUUGGCUUCAUAAAUGUCUUCUUUUGAAAAGUGUCUGUUCAUAUCCCUCACCCACUUUUUGAUGUUUUUUUUUUUUUUUUCUUUUGAAUCUACUUGAGUUCUUUGUAGAUUCUGGAUAUUAGCCCUUUGUCAGAUGGGUAGCUUGCAAAAAUUUUUCCGAUUCUGGUGGUUGCCAGUUCACUCUAAUGAUAGUUUCUUUUGCAGUACAGAAGCUCUUAAGUUUAAUUAGAUCCCAUCUGUCUAUUUUGGCUUUUGUUGCCAUUGCUUUUGGUGUUUUGGUAAUGAAGUCUUUGCCUAUGCCUAUGUCCUGAAUGAUAUUGCCUAGGUUUUCUUCUAGGGUUUUUAUAAAUCAUCUCUUUCAAGUUCAAAGUUCCACAAAUCUUCAGGGUAAGGACAAAAUGCUGCCAGUCUCUUUGCUAAAACGUAACAAGAGUCACCUUUGCUCCAGUUCCCAACGAAUUCCUCAUCUCCAUCUGAGACCACCUCAGCCUGGACCUUAUUGUUUAUAUGCCUAUAGGCAUUUUUGUCAAAGUCAUUCAGUGAGUCUCUAGGAAGUUCCAAACUUUCCCACCUUUUCCUGUCUUCUUCUGAGCCUUGCAAAUUGUUCCAACCCCUCCCCUCCCUGUUGCCCAGUUCCAACGUUGCUUCCACAGUUUCGAGUAUCUUUUCAGCAUUGCCCCACUCUACUGGUACCAAUUUACUGUGUUAGUUUGUUUUCAUUCUGCUGAUAAAGACAUACUUGAAACUGGGAACAAAAAAAGGUUUAACUGGACUUGCAGUUCCACGUGGCUGGGGAGGCCUCAGAAUCCUGGCGGGAGUGAAAGACACUUCUUACAUGGUGGUGACAAGAGAAAAAUGAGGAAGAAGCAAAAGUGGGAGUCCCGGAUAAACCCAUCAGAUCUCAUGAGACCUAUUCACUAUCAUGAGAAUAGCACAGGAAAGACUGGACCCCAUGAUUCAAUUACCUCCCCCUGUGUCCCUCCCACAACACAAGAGAUUUCUGGGAGAUACAUUUCAAGUUGAGACACAGGUGGGGACACGGCCAAACCGUACCACUGCAUUUCCGUGUCACUUCCUCAGAAGUGGCAAUGUUAGGACCAUAUUCCAGUUUUUCUUUUCCCUUUCUUCCUCCGCCUCCUCUUUGAAAGAGAUACGGUUUUCUGGUUUGGAGAUUGGAGUCUGUCCCUUGGGCUACAUGGAAUCUCCACCUCUCUUGACUAUCUCAAACAUCUGCUGUGUGUGGUGGAUGAGGCUGUGAGCAUCUUCCUCUGUGAAGGUCCUGACCCAUGAGCCUCUUCAUGGGUUCUAUCACAUCCAUCUUCUCUGGGUAGAAACCCACACUUGUGUCAGCUGCUCUCUUGAACAGGAAAGAAAUGCACCUUUACUAGUGGAAAGUUUUCAUCCUGGGUCUGGAUUUUUCAUCUCACUUUACAAGGUGAAUCUUCCCCUAAGCUGUCCAUGGACAGUGACCUUCUUUUCUGGAGUUCAGACUCAAUAUCUGUGCAUAUAUAAUAUCUCCAGCUUUAGAGGCUGGUUUGUUGGAGUUGUAGGAAGAGAGAUUGAGUGAAGCAGUGUUUAUUGAGCUGAAAUUGAGGAAUUACAAGGAAAGAGUAAACAAUGCCACCUCUGGAAAGAUGUAAUCUAAUGUGCAGAUAUUUGGGAUCUACAGAAGAAAACAUGUUGAUAAGUUCCAAUCAUUUAUAGAAUGGGGGAGUACACAGAGGAGGUUGAGAAAAACAGUAGUUUUGAAUAAAAAUGUCAUGCUCUGUUUAUUCAAAUUACAAAAUUAAUAUGUAUUCAUAGCAAAAACUGGAAAAAUAUAUUUUUAAGAAAUUACAAGCACUAAAAUAAUUAAGUAAAUAGAAUUUCUUUUGGUGAUACUGCCCAGGAGUAUGUGUUUUUAACACUUUGGGGUAAGACUUUUCAGCCUAUUUUUGUGACCAUCAUUUUAUUAGUUAUCUUGUGAAAAAAUAAAAAUGGUUAUGAUAAAAUGUAUGCUUUUGUAGAUUAGACAAAAUAUAUGCAAGAAAAAUACUUACCAAAAGGAAGCCAUGGUGGCUAUUUUAUCAGUAUACUGAAUUAAAUUGCAUUUCUAAUGCCAGCAACAAACACUUAGAAAAUAUAUCUGUGAAAAUAUUCAAGGGAUAAAUAUAAAAAUAUGUGUAAAAAAUUAUGAAAAUUUAUUUUUAAAGUUAUUAAAGAAAAUAUGUGUAAAUAGAGAAAUAUACUAUGUGAAUGGAUAGGAAGACUCAAUAUUAUAAAGAUGAACUCCCAAGAAAAUGAAUUUGUAUCUUUAAAGCAUUGUGAAUGUUUUAUAUGUCAAAUAAUGUUCUCAUAUAAUAUGAUUUAACAGGUUUAUAGAACUCUGUUAUAUAGCUAUACCAUAAUCUACUUAAGCAUUCUUCUAUUGCUUAAUAUUAAGAUAAUUUUUCUAUUUUUCAUUCAUGUAAACUGUAUU